UAUUUUUCUAAUUUAUCAACCAUUAGUAAAUAAUUUAUUACAAUAUUUGCAUAAGAUUAAUCAUCAAUCAUAUUAUAAUUAAAUCCUUCAACAAUUCAAAAUCGUCGAUCAGUCAUUUGAUCAAAUAGGUACUUCUAUAUGUGUGACCCCAUAAGUUUGAAUCUAAGUCGGUAGCACAAGAAUAAUUUCUAUACCAAUCGAUGUAACCAUCUAGCAAUA
Molecule: long non-coding RNA, 219 nt
Filed under: Elaeis guineensis (African oil palm)
Lineage: Eukaryota; Viridiplantae; Streptophyta; Magnoliopsida; Arecales; Arecaceae
Description: long non-coding RNA (EGUI_LNC047758)
Source: RNAcentral